Molecule: ribosomal RNA, 540 nt
Filed under: uncultured bacterium
Lineage: Bacteria
Description: bacterial SSU rRNA
Rfam family: Bacterial small subunit ribosomal RNA
Source: RNAcentral
AAUAGAUACCCGGGUAGUCCACGCCGUAAACGUUGGAUACUAGGUGUGGCGUCCCGAUCAACGGAUGCCGUGCCGAAGCUAACGCAUUAAGUAUCCCGCCUGGGGAGUACGGCCGCAAGGCUAAAACUCAAAGGAAUUGACGGGUCCCCGCACAAGCGGCGGAGCAUGCGGCUUAAUUCGAUGCAACCCGAAGAACCUUACCUGGGUUUGAAAUCAUGGGAAAAGCUGUAGAAAUACAGUGUCCGUAAGGGCCCAUGACAGGUGGUGCAUGGCUGUCGUCAGCUCGUGUCGUGAGAUGUUGGGUUAAGUCCCGCAACGAGCGCAACCCUUGUCCUAUGUUGCCAGCGGUUCGGCCGGGGACUCAUAGGAGACUGCCGGGGAUAACUCGGAGGAAGGUGAGGACGACGUCAAGUCAUCAUGCCCCUUAUAUCCAGGGCUGCACGCAUGCUACAAUGGUCGGUACAACGGGCAGCGACCCCGCGAGGGUGAGCGAAUCCCACAAAGCCGGCCUCAGUUCGGAUUGGAGUCUGCAACUCGACU